GAUGAACGCUGGCGGCGUGCUUAACACAUGCAAGUCGAACGGAAAGGCCCAAGCUUGCUUGGGUACUCGAGUGGCGAACGGGUGAGUAACACGUGGGGGAUCUGCCCUUCACUUCGGGAUAAGCCUGGGAAACUGGGUCUAAUACCGGAUAGGACCACAUGUUGGAUGGUGUGGUGUAAAGAUUUUCGGUGUUGGAUGAACUCGCGGACUGUCAGCUUGUUGGUGGGGUAAUGGCCUACCCAGGCGUAGACGGGGAGCCGGCACAGUAGGGUGUACGCACAGACUGGAAUCCGGCGGGGGGCAAGAGUAGGGAGGGAGGCAGAAGUGGGGAAUAUUGGACAGAGGGAGGACGCCUGAUGCAGGAAGGCCGUGUGGGGGAUGACGGCUUUUGGGUUGUAAAAUCCUAUGGCUAGGGACCAAGGGUUUUUGUGACGGUACCUGGAGAAGAAGCCACGGCUAACUACGUG
Molecule: ribosomal RNA, 467 nt
Filed under: uncultured bacterium
Lineage: Bacteria
Description: partial 16S ribosomal RNA
Rfam family: Bacterial small subunit ribosomal RNA
Source: RNAcentral